CUGCCCUGUACACACGGAUAACAUACCGAAAGGUAUGCUAAUACGAGAUAAUAUGCUUUUAUCGCAUGGUAGAAGUAUCAAAGCUCCGGCGGUACAGGAUGGACCCGCGUCUGAUUAGCUAGUUGGUAAGGUAACGGCUUACCAAGGCGACGAUCAGUAGCCGACCUGAGAGGGUGAUCGGCCACAUUGGAACUGAGACACGGUCCAAACUCCUACGGGAGGCAGCAGUGGGGAAUAUUGCACAAUGGGCGAAAGCCUGAUGCAGCAACGCCGCGUGAGCGAUGAAGGCCUUCGGGUCGUAAAGCUCUGUCCUCAAGGAAGAUAAUGACGGUACUUGAGGAGGAGGCCCCGGCUAACUACGUGCCAGCAGCCGCGGUAAUACGUAGGGGGCUAGCGUUAUCCGGAAUUACUGGGCGUAAAGGGUGCGUAGGUGGUUUCUUAAGUCAGAGGUGAAAGGCUACGGCUCAACCGUAGUAAGCCUUUGAAACUGGGAAACUUGAGUGCAGGAGAGGAGAGUGGAAUUCCUAGUGUAGCGGUGAAAUGCGUAGAUAUUAGGAGGAACACCAGUUGCGAAGGCGGCUCUCUGGACUGUAACUGACACUGAGGCACGAAAGCGUGGGGAGCAAACAGGAUUAGAUACCCUGGUAGUCCACGCCGUAAACGAUGAGUACUAGCUGUCGGAGGUUACCCCUUUCGGUGGCGCAGCU
RNAcentral lists this ribosomal RNA (707 nucleotides) under uncultured bacterium. RNAcentral describes it as "bacterial SSU rRNA". It matches the Rfam family "Bacterial small subunit ribosomal RNA", at positions 126 to 853 of the family's 1533-position model. The record is from RNAcentral.